UGCAGGUAGAGAAGGAUAAAAAAAUUCAGGAUCUAUAUGAUGAGCUCCGGUGUGAAAGAGAGCGAUCUGCAGCAUUCCAACAACAGUUAUGCCUGAUUCUCAAGGACCUUGAGGAACAUGCUGAAUAUAUCUCUGUAAGAGUUGAAGACAUUGUUAAGAGCAUGAAAGAAAUUGAACUUCGUGACCUAUAGCUUUGAAGUCAAGGGAAUGGUGCCAUAUAAUUGAAUUUUGACCGAUUUUGAAAAUUUGAGUAACUGGCUCUGGUUAAAGCUAAACUCCUGUGUUGGCUUAACCAGUUUUGCUGUUGGAAAAUAGCAUGUUGUCAAGAAAGGCAUGCUGGAAUGAACUGGCUAAAGAAAUCUGCAUGAGGAUGUGUUCCCCUGCUAAUAUCGACCUUGAAGGAUGCCUAAGGUUAGAAACUUUUUUUUCAUAUGAUUCCUUGAUCUCUAAUACAACUAGCUCUUCCCUGCAAACCCAGUUGUGUUGGAUUUUAUUCCACAAGUUUACCAUUUUAAUGUAAAGGAUGAUAAGCACACUGUAAAGCGAGUUCCACAAGUUUACCAUAUUCAGUGUGCCUAUUUUAGUGCUAACCUUGAGCCUGGAAGGUGGCUUGUGUUCCGCUUCGACACUAAGUCGUCUUUGUCCAAGUUUGAACCGCAGACGACUCUCCAGUAGUUCCAUUCCUUCUUACUAUACUUCUGGGUCAACCCAACCCGAACAGGAAGAAGAGGAUCAGCCAAACAGCAGGCAGCUCAACUUUGUACAUUUUCUUAGGCAAACCAAUCCGUCAUUUUUCGAUGAAAGGCCAAAAUUUGUGUUUUGUUUCAUUACAUUGCACAGUUGUACCUUUUGGCCCUAAAGGAUGACAAGCAUAUGCUGCAAUUCUAGCUCUAAGAGAGAGACUGGCAUUCAGUGUGUCUCCUUUUAUACGUUACUUUUAGCAGGACGUACAUGUGCACCGAGUUUAUCCAAGUUAUAAUAUUUGUACAUCUAAAUUCUGUAUUCUGAAUGGUCAAUCCUAGACUCGUGCUCAUUUUAGUGGAUUUGUAACAACACGUGACAUGCCGUGGGGAUUUAUUGUGAAAUACAAUUAUGUCUCUGUUUUUGCAA
Non-coding RNA from Prunus avium (sweet cherry), 1110 nucleotides. Lineage: Eukaryota; Viridiplantae; Streptophyta; Magnoliopsida; Rosales; Rosaceae. The record is from RefSeq and is a predicted model, not a curated record.